Molecule: non-coding RNA, 74 nt
Organism: Ameiurus melas (black bullhead)
Lineage: Eukaryota; Metazoa; Chordata; Actinopteri; Siluriformes; Ictaluridae
Source: the annotation of a GenBank genome assembly
GGUAGUGGUCGCUCAGUGGUUAAGAUGUUGGACUACUGCUCGGAAGGUUUCGAGUUCAAAUCCCGGCAUUGCCA